AUUGAACGCUGGCGGCACGCUAACACAUGCAAGUCGAGCGGUAACAUGGGUAGUAGCAAUACUAUCUGAUGACGAGCGGCGGACGGGUGAGUAACACGUAGGAACUUGCCCAGUAGAGGGGGACAACCAAGGGAAACUUUGGCUAAUACCGCAUAUACUCGAGAGAGGAAAGCUGCCGCAAGGUGGCGCUACUGGAGAGGCCUGCGUCCGAUUAGCUAGUUGGUGAGGUAAUAGUUUACCAAGGCGAGGAUCGGUAACUGGUCUGAGAGGACAACCAAUCACAAUGGGACUGAGACACGGCCCAGACUCCUACGGGAGGCAGCAGUGGGGAAUCUUGGACAAUGGGGGCAACACUGAUCCAGCGAUGCCGCGUGAGUGAAGAAGGCCUUCGGGUCGUAAAGCUCUUUAGGCUGGGAAGAAGGUUAGUAGUUUAAGAGAUAGCUAGCUUGACUGUACCAGCAGAAUAAGCACCGGCAAACUCUGUGCCAGCAGCCGCGGUAA
RNAcentral lists this ribosomal RNA (501 nucleotides) under uncultured bacterium. Its description in RNAcentral is "partial 16S ribosomal RNA". It matches the Rfam family "Bacterial small subunit ribosomal RNA", at positions 30 to 523 of the family's 1533-position model. The record is from RNAcentral.